GCUUGUCUCAGUCAUAUAAACUGUAGUAGAAUUGCUUGAAAUUAGUUUAUUAAAGGUCACAUUUUUCCAGUGCAAAGAAAGGAGAGGAAACGUCUCUGUGCCUGAUAUGUCCCUACGCACUCAGCAUCCUCUCCUCUGGAUCCAUGGUCCUCCAUGCCUCAGCCUCUCUGGGUCUUCUACGUCGGGAGGGAAGACUGGGGCCGAGGCAUCUCAUUCCCUGUCCAGGAAGUCAUCAGUUGUCGUAGAUGUGGGCUAGCAUUGUGUAAAGAUAUCAAGAAAAUGUCUAUCACCCAAUCACACCCUGCUCCUCUCGUUUCCCAGCCAAUCAGAGGGUGGAAGAAGGCCAAGCCAAAUUUCAAGAUCUACUGUUGGGCCCUCCUCCUACUGACUUCAUAACCUAUCAGCUGAUGGAUGAAUUGGAAAAGAGAUACGUAAAGAAGCUGUUCAACACAGCACCCACUGAUAGACAGGACAAGAACUCUGAGAGCAGGCAUGUACCACACUCACACACACACACAAUGAAUUUGAAUCGGGUGGAUAAAUAUCACACGUGGAUAUGUGAUUUGAGAAGACACUGAAUGUGCAGUUACACACACACACACAUUGCAAUAAUAGUUUUGUCAAUAUCUCGUGGAAACUUUUCAGUAAACACAACUGUAUUGUGCUUUACAUUUGUGUGCUCAUGCAAAUGGACUUGUUUUGACAUAAUUUCAUCCUUCAGAAACAGCAGCAGCUGAAACAGACAAACAGUAUUUCU
Molecule: long non-coding RNA, 757 nt
Filed under: Salmo salar (Atlantic salmon)
Lineage: Eukaryota; Metazoa; Chordata; Actinopteri; Salmoniformes; Salmonidae
Description: lncRNA (ENSSSAG00000115664.1)
Source: RNAcentral